RNAcentral lists this long non-coding RNA (3760 nucleotides) under Amborella trichopoda. RNAcentral's name for it is "long non-coding RNA (ATRI_LNC003977)". The record is from RNAcentral. Lineage: Eukaryota; Viridiplantae; Streptophyta; Magnoliopsida; Amborellales; Amborellaceae.
GUGCAUGUUCCAAUAUUGCUUUAAAACAAAAGUUCCAACCCAAGGGUUGGAACUCAAACUUGGAACUUUGUUUUGUGAACCCCCGCCUGAUAACCCUAGCUCCAUUUCGUAGACCAAAGAAGCAAGUCCUCCGCCGCCAUCUCUUCACAGAGGUUCGAGCUCUCUCUCCGCCAUCUCUCAGACCUCGCGAUUCGCAGAUAGCCCUCUGUCCGCCAUCUCUCACACAGGUUCGAGCUCUCUCUCCGCCACGGUUCGCAAAUAGCCCUCUGUCCGCCAUCUCUCACACAGGUUCGAGCUCUCUCUCCGCCAUCUCUCGGAGCUCGCGGUUACCAGAUAGCCCUCCGCCCGCCAUCUCUCACACAGGUUCUUUAUGCAAUGUUUUUGGUUUCCAUUGAUUAUUGAAAAUGGGUUUUUUCUUUGAUACAGAGAUAGAUUGUUUUGGCCUAGAGAGAGAGAGAGAGAAUCGUUUGGCCUAGAGAGAGUAAAAGAGAAUCGUUUGGCUUAGAGAGAGUUUAGGCCUUUAGAGAGAGAGAGAUUGUCUUGGCCUUGAGAUAGAGAGAUUGUUUUGGCCAAAGCCAAGACGGGAGACUCUCUCUACAAUCAAUUAAGAGCAUGAAGCCAAGACGGGAGACUCUCUCUACAAUCAAUUAAGAGCAUGUCCUUUAUCAAGGUUUCUCUCUCUGAAUUAACAUCUUUCUUAGCUUUGAAGCCAAAGUCUCCUCUCUCAAUGCUCUAGAUUUAUUUAGAUGUUAAAGACCAUGCCUUUAAGGGGUUUUCUCUCCUCUAUUUAUUUAGAUGUUAAAAAGGGACCUGGUUUUUUUUUGGAAAAUUUGAAUUGAGCAAAAAUUUGGGCUCUCCAUUUUCUUGUUUUUGAUGAUUACCUUUAUUUUUCUUGGAUUUCUUUCGUUUCCUCAGAGACCGCUCUCUCUGCCAUCAAACAGGUCCAGAAAGAGCUCAAAAAAUCCAUUAUUCCUGCCCUUUUUCGAGUCAUCAACCUCCCACCCUCCAUUAACAGGUAUGGUUUUUUUUUUUCUAUAUACCUAUUUCCCUUGCUCGAAAAAUUAGGGUUUCUCUGUGCGAAGAUCUUCUAAGAUCCUGUGAUAUUGGUUGUUUUCACUUGUUUUAGUACUAAAAAUGUUUGAUUUGGUUUAUCAUAUGUGGGAGAAAUUCUAAGUUGCCCAUAUUAUGGAAUCAUAGGGUUUCCUUAUUUUUUGCAUUAUUCCAUUAAUCUGUGUUUAUUUGUUAUUCAUUUGAUUAUCUGGAUUCCUUCCCCAUGAAUUUUGGCAAAAGCCCUAAAUUUCAUUGGACUGGUGUUUGUUUGUAUAUACAGUUUCACAUCUGCUGGUGUUGAUCUCUAUAUGAUUUCCAUACGGUGUUCUUUACUCUGGAGCUAUGAUCUAUGUUUACAGUUAUUUUUCGAUGGACCAUAUAUUUUUUAUUGAGCUCUAAAUCUAUUGAUCUCUAUGUUUGUUCUUGCUUUUCUUACUCUGAGCUCUGAUCUCUGUUUGCAGUUAUUUUUAGAUGGAAAAUAUAUUUUUUAUUGAGCUUUAUUUAAACCUUGUUCUACAUUUUAUAUGGACCUUAUUUUGUGGCCACAAAUAUUGAGUCCUCGUCGAAUAUUGUCUUCAUUCUAUUGCAUUUUGAAUUAUGUAUGUUUAAACUAUUACGGGUUAUUCUUGAAUGGGAUGAUUUCUUACUGCUUGCAUUGUGCAUGUGUGUUUGAAUAAGUUGAUUUCUUAGUUCCUGCAUUUUUAAUUAUGCAUGUUUAAACUAUAACAGGUUAGUGUUUAACUUAAUUAAAUUGAGGUUGUGCUUGACAUUGUUUAUAGAUUGCUUUAAUUUUGAGGUGCAAUGAAGUUUAUCAUGGAACAUUUGCAUCAAUUGGUGUACAAAUGUGUCUCUCUGUAAGACGCUUCUCGCACUCAUCAAUUUUAAAACUCUCUCUCUCAAUCCAACAUACUUUACUUUCAAUUGAUAUUGUAUUCCAAAAAGUAAUAUUAUACAAAUUAAUAAAAAAUAAUUAUCUAGAUCUCAAUUUUAACAUUUACAUCUUGUCUAUUAUUUAAAGCUAAUCCAAUACAUAUAUCCAAUUCUUCUUUAACUUCUUAGGAGGUUAUCAAACAAGAAACCGGGAACUUCUUAACUUCCCAAGAGGUUAUCAAACACAGAAGCCAUGAACUUCUUAACUUCCCAGGAGAUUAUCAAACACAGAAGCCAGGAACUUCUUUAGUAACUUCCAAUUUACAGUUAAGAAUGAACUUCCAAUUUACAGUUCAUGAACUUGCUUCCAGUUAUCAAACAAACCGAGUGAAGACUCAAGUGUGAGAAUUGAAUAAGUGAGGGCGUAUUUAUAAGCUUCUAGCCACCAAGUGUAUAGAUACUUCUAGAUAGAUGAAUCUAGGCCUUCCAUGUCAUCAUCUUAUAUCUACCUAGAGAGGCUUGAUCCUAGCCCACCAUCAACCAUCAAGUCAUCUUCAUGUGUAAUAUGAGUUUAACCACCUUUAUCCUCUUUUUUUAAAAAUCACAACUCACUCUAACUCCCCCUUGUAUAAAAAUAGCCUUGCUCUUUCCAAAUAAUUAAACUUAAAACCAAGUUAGAGGGCAUAUCCUUGAGGUAAUUAUGCAAAAUUCCACCAAAAAUCAAAUUUGACACUUUCUCGCCAGUUUGAAAGAGCAUGUGUGGUCAACCAAAACAUGCUACAUGUACAAGUUGGUUAAGUGCACAAUUACCACAUACCCUUAGGGUUUAAAUUAAAGUAUCAAACCCUAUGCCCCUUCUAGAAGGGCUCACAUAUGUGCACACACCCAUUUGCUUUUCAAAUUUAGCUUGUACCUACAUUAAUUUUCUAAAAUAAUAAAAAAUAGCACAUUUAGAUACCCCCACUUGAAAUAAAAAUUCAACAAAGGAUAAAGGGGUCCCAUGGAGGGUUGACGCUAACACCACGUAGGGUUGACAUGGGACCCCCCAUGGCCACGUGGACACCCAUUGGCCAUUUGGGUGUCCCGUAAGGUUGACAUGGGACCCCUUGUGACCAUGUGGACACCCAUUAGCCAUUUGGGUGUCCCGUGUGGGUCAUAGGAGUCUGCCAUUGAUUGUUAUUUCGAGAAACCGAAAAACUCAUUUUUUUGCCCAAAAAAUCCAAAAAAAUCUUCAAAAAUUCACAAAAAUCCUUGUAAUCAUUUUUCAUCAAAAUAAAUCAUUUUAACACUAUAUAAAAAUAUUUUCAAGGGGAAUUAGGAUCCUAUGAAGCUGAAUUAAUAACCAGAGCACUCCACUCGGAUAGACUUGGAAUCUAAAGUCGCCUUCUCGAUAUCCCCCAACAAACUCAUGACCCACAAUGACAGGGGCUCAUGAAAUAGCUUAUCAAAGUCAAACCAAUAAGUGACCCUAAAUCCCUAAGUACUAUUGGAUUUCAAGUGCACCCCCUAGAAGACAUACACACACAUGGUGCAGGGGUUCCUCUCUUAGCACAUAUGCAUACCUCUUACAAGUGGAUCCCUCGAAGAGCAGCUUCCCACACUUUGCAAUUGUUUAUGCAUAUGCUACGAGAAUGUUCUAUGUGUCAAGGAUUUAGGCCAAUGCUCUCUGUUGGCCCUAAUUUUCCUGUAUAUAGCUAAUUUGGUCAUCGAGCUCGUAUCAUCGACCACAUAAAUCAUACAAAAUAUAUCACCCUGGCCCGUCACGAGGCUCAAAAACAAUAACCAGCCAUGACAUAGAGGUAACCCUCAACCCUCUUGGUAGCUUCCAUACAUACGAAUC